This 274-nucleotide long non-coding RNA is filed under the name Pan troglodytes (chimpanzee). RNAcentral's name for it is "long non-coding RNA NONPTRT003010". The record is from RNAcentral. Lineage: Eukaryota; Metazoa; Chordata; Mammalia; Primates; Hominidae.
GGCUCAGUUUCAUUUGUGGUUUUCUCUCCCUUAAAAACAAAGAAAUAGCCUGGGUGCAGUGGCUCACGUCUGUAAUCCCAGCACUUUGGGAGGGUGAGGCAGGCAGAUCACUUGAGGUCAGGAGUACGAGACCAGCCUGGCCAACAGUUACGCCCACCUUUGUUUGAGGAUAUGAAAUGUCCAGGUUAUGAACAAUAGGAAUUGCUUCUGAUACAAUCACAGCAGAUGACCUUCUGUGCUGGCUGAUCUAACUGACUCACCCUGAGAUCAGAUU